GCCGGGGUGGCUUAGCCUGGCUAAAGCGCCGGACUCAUAAUCCGGAGAUCGCGGGUUCGAGUCCCGCCCCCGGCA
This 75-nucleotide transfer RNA is filed under the name Thermoproteota archaeon. Its description in RNAcentral is "tRNA-Met". It matches the Rfam family "tRNA". From Rfam's summary of the family: Transfer RNA (tRNA) molecules are approximately 80 nucleotides in length. Their secondary structure includes four short double-helical elements and three loops (D, anti-codon, and T loops). Further hydrogen bonds mediate the characteristic L-shaped molecular structure. tRNAs have two regions of fundamental functional importance: the anti-codon, which is responsible for specific mRNA codon recognition, and the 3' end, to which the tRNAs corresponding amino acid is attached (by aminoacyl-tRNA synthetases). tRNAs cope with the degeneracy of the genetic code in two manners: having more than one tRNA (with a specific anti-codon) for a particular amino acid; and 'wobble' base-pairing, i.e. permitting non-standard base-pairing at the 3rd anti-codon position. RNAcentral also lists the same sequence under 3 other names. Lineage: Archaea; Thermoproteati; Thermoproteota. The record is from RNAcentral.